RNAcentral lists this unclassified non-coding RNA (391 nucleotides) under soil metagenome. Its description in RNAcentral is "partial contains 5.8S ribosomal RNA, internal transcribed spacer 2, and large subunit ribosomal RNA". The stretch from base 1 to 122 matches the Rfam family "5.8S ribosomal RNA", at positions 35 to 154 of the family's 154-position model. The record is from RNAcentral.
GAUGAAGAACGUAGCGAAAUGCGAUACUUGGUGUGAAUUGCAGAAUCCCGUGAACCAUCGAGUCUUUGAACGCAAGUUGCGCCCGAAGCCAUUAGGCCGAGGGCACGCCUGCCUGGGCGUCACACGUCGUUGCCCCCCCAUCUACUCCUUCGGGCUUGCGGGGGGCGGAUGAUGGCCUCCCGUGCGCCUCGUCGCGCGGUUGGCAUAAAUGCCAAGUCCUCGGCGACGCACGCCACGACAAUCGGUGGUUGCGAAACCUCGGUUGCCCGUCGUGUGCGGUCGUCGCGCAUCGAGGGCUCGAAAAAAUUGCCGGGCUCCGGCUCGGCUUUCAACGCGACCCCAGGUCAGGCGGGGUUACCCGCUGAAUUUAAGCAUAUCAAUAAGCGGAGGA